UAAUUAUCCGGGCUACACGCGGGCUACAAUGGUCAGGACAAUGGGUAUCAACACCGAAAGGUGAAGGCAAUCUCCUAAACCUGUCCUUAGUUCGGAUUGUGGGCUGCAACUCGCCCACAUGAAGCUGGAAUCUGUAGUAAUCGCGUCUCAACAUGGCGCGGUGAAUAUGUCCCUGCCUCCUU
Molecule: ribosomal RNA, 182 nt
Filed under: uncultured Methanolinea sp.
Lineage: Archaea; Methanobacteriati; Methanobacteriota; Methanomicrobia; Methanomicrobiales; Methanoregulaceae
Description: partial 16S ribosomal RNA
Rfam family: Archaeal small subunit ribosomal RNA
Source: RNAcentral